RNAcentral lists this long non-coding RNA (2020 nucleotides) under Bactrocera tryoni. RNAcentral describes it as "uncharacterized LOC120777708". Lineage: Eukaryota; Metazoa; Arthropoda; Insecta; Diptera; Tephritidae. The record is from RNAcentral.
AAGUGUUUUAAAAUGUUUAGUGAAGUAUUUGAAGUGCUGUGCAAGUGAAAAGUGUAUAAAUAGUGUAGUGAAAAAGUAUUUUAAAGUGGUUGAAAGAAGUUGCGUGCGAAAUCUAAUUGGAAUGGAAAUUUUUUGCGCAGUCGGUACGGGUUCGUUCGUGUGUGUUGUGUGCGUGCAUGCAAAGCCGGGCAACAGGCAAAUAAGUAGUAAAGUAAAUGUGCUACUGCAUAAAUUUAGUAAUAUUAUUAUUUUUGGAAAAUAUACUUAAUAGAAGUCAAAGGAAAUGUGAAAAUAAAAUGUAAAUGUGACAUGCAAAUCCAAAAUAUCAAUGAAUGUACAAACAUCGUUUCGUAUACUAUGUACUUAUGUAUAGUAUGUGCAUACAUACAUAUGUAUGUAUGUGAAUACGCGUCGGGUUCGGUUCGUUUUGCUUUAUGCGUAUAUCGGUAUAAUCUCUAGUAAUGCGUGGAAGAUUGUAGAAUCGUGUAAGUAAUUAAAAAAAAUCUAAUAAAAUUUAAUGAUUGGUAAAAGUGUGAAGUGCGGUAAUCAUUAUAUGCGUUCGUACAUUGUUGUAAACGUUAAGUUCCAUGAACACUUUACAAUGAAUAGACCACAAUAUUGUCCUCAAAGGCGGAUAUUCCAUAUUUCCACAAGCAUACUUACAUAUAUUAAGCAAAGAAUGCGAGCAGUAAAAGAAGAUUUCUUUGGUAGUUUCAUUUAAGUGAGUUGCUGCAGAGUCAAGACGGAUCGAGGUAUUAGAUAUUUCAAUUUGCCCUCAAGUUAAUCAAUCCUCUCAAAUACGCAUGGGACUGUUAGUGCUCGCUCCAACAUUACAUAAAACCCAAAUCGAGUAUUUUGACGUUAUACAGUGUCAUCGAGAAAAAAGAGUAUUUUGAGUCCAGGAUGAAUGGCCGAUCAAAACAAAUACCAAACAGCGGUGAAACAGGUGCUGCAAAACAAACACAAUUUGAAAAGAAACACAGCAAAAAGAAGAAGCACGCAUGCAAAAUAUUCGCAACGCAUUUCUACUGCUUAUGCACUCUUCUUUCUCUGCCGCUGAACUAUAUACGUAUGUAUGUACAUAAUUGCAGAAACAUAUUGGUUUGUUGUUGGAAACUGUAGCAAACAUCAAGCAGUGGAGUGAGAGACUGCCUGUUGUUGCGGUAAUACACUAAUUAAGAGAUCAAAAGUAUUGAUGAGUGGCUGUGAGAGACAGCGUGAGUAUGUUGGAAUGUGUUACCGUUUGGCUUCAUACUCAUUGCAAGAACUGGAAUUUGGUGAACAGUUGCUUCUGCUGCUAAAGUGUAAAAAUUGCGAUUUGGACAAUAAAUUGUUAAUAAUUAAUUAAUAAAAUAUGUUUAAAAGUGUCUUAAAAUGUUUAGUGAAGUGUUUAAAGUGCAGUGCAAGUGAAAAGUGUAUAAAUAGUGUAGUGAAAAAGUAUUUUAAAGUGGUUGAAAGAAGUUGCGUGCGAAAUCUAAUUGGAAUGGAAAUUUUUUGCGCAGACGGUACGGGUUCGUUCGUGUGUGUUGUGUGCGUGCAUGCAAAGCCGGGCAACAGGCUAAUAAGUAGUAAAAUAAAUGUGCUACUGCAUAAAUUUAUUAAUAUUAUAAAUUUUGAAAAAUAUAGAAGUCAAAAAAGAGUGAAAAUAAAAUGUGCCCUGCAAAUCGAAAAUUAAUAAAAAUCUGUCGUGAAGAGCCACGUGCAUAGUAAUGAACGGGUAUCGUUUUGUAUACCAUGUAUGGUAUGUGAGUACGCGUCGGGUUCGGUUCGUGCGUAUAUCGGUAUAAUCUCCGGUAGUGCGUGGAAGUUUCUAGAAGCGUGUAAGUAAUUAAAAAAAGCAAAAUAUAGUAAAAAUUAAUUAGUGGUAAAAGUGUGAAGUGCGGUAAUUGUUGUAUGCGUUCGUCCAUUGAUAUAAACGAUAAGUUGCUUAACGACUAUGCAAUGAAUGGAGAUCCAAUAUUGCAAACAAAGGCCUCUUAAUUUUCAUAUGCAGCACUAUGCAAGAAACAGGUGGUAAGCU